GUGGCUGCUGGGCGGGCGGGGCGCAGGCCGCGGGACCCGAGCCCGGGGGAGCGAGAGAGCGGAAGCGCCGAGGAUCCGAUUCACUCGCUGGGGAGACCUAUGGGCCGAAGCCGUGUAAAUGCGUUUUAAGGCGAGUGCGGAAAGUGGCCUGGGGAGCCUCGGGGAGCGGACGCCCUCCGCCCUGGUGCUGACCUGCCCCCCUGCCUCUUCUGCCUCCCGUCAGCAGGGGCCUCGGCUCCGCAACUGCCACUCCUCCUCGGGGUGUUGCACAAGUUUCGAGGUCACCGGCGACCCCCCCUAGCAGCGCGCCUGGCUCUGGCCCCCGCGAAGGAGGACGGAGCUUGUGUGUUGCAUACUUUCUAAGGCGGCGGCUGCAGCAGCGGCUCCAUCCAGCCCGUCAGCUCCUCCUGCAAGGCAUGGCUGGCUACCUGAGUGAAUCGGACUUUGUGAUGGUGGAGGAGGGCUUCAGUACCCGAGACCUGCUGAAGGAACUCACUCUGGGGGCCUCACAGGCCACCACGUCAUUCCUUGCUUCUCAUCAGUGUUGCCUUUUCCUGAUCGCCCCAGGCAGAUUUUGUAUUUUCUUUCUCCAUGCCCCCACAUUGCACCUUGUAGAAACUGCCAUCUAACAUCUGCUGAAUGGACUUGACCAGGUAGCUGCCUUCUUCGUGGCUGACCUGGGUGCCAUAGUGAGGAAGCACUUUUGCUUUCUGAAGUGCCUGCCACGAGUCCGGCCCUUUUACGCUGUCAAGUGCAACAGCAGCCCAGGUGUGCUGAAGGUUCUGGCCCAGCUGGGGCUGGGCUUUAGCUGUGCCAACAAGGCAGAGAUGGAGUUGGUCCAGCAUAUUGGAGUCCCUGCCAGUAAGAUCAUCUGCGCCAACCCCUGUAAGCAAAUUGCACAGAUCAAAUAUGCUGCCAAGCAUGGGAUCCGGCUGCUGAGCUUUGACAAUGAGAUGGAGCUGGCAAAGGUGGUAAAGAGCCACCCCAGUGCCAAGAUGGUUCUGUGCAUUGCUACCGAUGACUCCCACUCCCUGAGCCGCCUGAGCCUAAAGUUUGGAGUGUCACUGAAAUCCUGCAGACACCUGCUUGAAAAUGCGAAGAAGAGCCACGUGGAGGUGGUGGGUGUGAG
This 1129-nucleotide small RNA is filed under the name Pongo abelii (Sumatran orangutan). RNAcentral's name for it is "processed transcript". Lineage: Eukaryota; Metazoa; Chordata; Mammalia; Primates; Hominidae. The record is from RNAcentral.